CGGCGGACGGGUGGGUAACGCGUGGAUAACCUGCCUCACACAGGGGGAUAACAGUUAGAAAUGACUGCUAAUACCGCAUAAGCGCACGGUACCGCAUGGUACAGUGUGAAAAACUCCGGUGGUGUGAGAUGGAUCCGCGUCUGAUUAGGUAGUUGGUGAGGUAACGGCCCACCAAGCCGACGAUCAGUAGCCGACCUGAGAGGGUGACCGGCCACAUUGGGACUGAGACACGGCCCAA
This 238-nucleotide ribosomal RNA is filed under the name uncultured bacterium. RNAcentral describes it as "partial 16S ribosomal RNA". It matches the Rfam family "Bacterial small subunit ribosomal RNA", at positions 96 to 334 of the family's 1533-position model. The record is from RNAcentral.